Molecule: non-coding RNA, 202 nt
Organism: Pelobates cultripes (western spadefoot toad)
Lineage: Eukaryota; Metazoa; Chordata; Amphibia; Anura; Pelobatidae
Source: the annotation of a GenBank genome assembly
AAAUAAAGCCAAAUCCUUGCUCCCGACACCAUUCACCAAGCCACAAAUUAAAGUCCCUAAUACGCAUCUGCCUGUCGUUCUGAGUGUUAUGCACAGGCAGAACUUCAGAGAAUGACAGUGUGGAAGCAACCUGCCGUAUAUCAUUGGCAAAAACACUAAAAACUUCCUUAACCUCUGAAACCUCAUUGCAAGCUAAGUCAUU